This 76-nucleotide transfer RNA is filed under the name Salmonella phage BSP101. Its description in RNAcentral is "tRNA-Asn". It matches the Rfam family "tRNA". Rfam says of the family: Transfer RNA (tRNA) molecules are approximately 80 nucleotides in length. Their secondary structure includes four short double-helical elements and three loops (D, anti-codon, and T loops). Further hydrogen bonds mediate the characteristic L-shaped molecular structure. tRNAs have two regions of fundamental functional importance: the anti-codon, which is responsible for specific mRNA codon recognition, and the 3' end, to which the tRNAs corresponding amino acid is attached (by aminoacyl-tRNA synthetases). tRNAs cope with the degeneracy of the genetic code in two manners: having more than one tRNA (with a specific anti-codon) for a particular amino acid; and 'wobble' base-pairing, i.e. permitting non-standard base-pairing at the 3rd anti-codon position. The record is from RNAcentral. Lineage: Duplodnaviria; Heunggongvirae; Uroviricota; Caudoviricetes; Pantevenvirales; Ackermannviridae. RNAcentral also lists the same sequence under 2 other names.
GACGAUGUAGUUCAGUCGGUAGAACGGCGGUCUGUUAAAUCGUAUGUCGCAGGUUCAAGUCCUGUCAUCGUCGCCA